GGGGGCGGCGAGGUGAAGGGGCGGGACCUGAAGCGCUCAGCCCGGGUCUCCAGUUGCUUGCCGGAGCUUCUCAGCACAAUGAAACAAAACUGAGCAAGACAGAAAAAAAAAAAAAAACAAAGACAAAAACAAAACCUCCACUCUCAAGUCUAGCAGGAGAAAUGGAUUGUAAACCACUUCAGUACAGUGUGUAAACAACCAUGACAGACACACAGAGCACCUGCACUAAUCUGGAGAGAGAGCACAAGCAGCAGGAGAGGCAGGC
Long non-coding RNA from Neogale vison (American mink), 265 nucleotides. RefSeq lists it as uncharacterized. The transcript is spliced from 3 exons. NCBI's taxonomy places the organism in Eukaryota, Metazoa, Chordata, Mammalia, Carnivora, Mustelidae. The record is from RefSeq and is a predicted model, not a curated record.